RNAcentral lists this transfer RNA (76 nucleotides) under Lactobacillus acetotolerans DSM 20749 = JCM 3825. RNAcentral's name for it is "tRNA-Arg". It matches the Rfam family "tRNA". Rfam says of the family: Transfer RNA (tRNA) molecules are approximately 80 nucleotides in length. Their secondary structure includes four short double-helical elements and three loops (D, anti-codon, and T loops). Lineage: Bacteria; Bacillati; Bacillota; Bacilli; Lactobacillales; Lactobacillaceae. The record is from RNAcentral.
UGCGCCCUUAGCGCAAUUGGAUAGAGCGUCUGACCUCGGAUCAGAAGGUUGAAAGUUCGAACCCUUCAGGGCGCAU